GUGGGGAAUAUUGCACAAUGGGCGAAAGCCUGAUGCAGCAACGCCGCGUGAAGGAUGAAGGCCUUUGGGUCGUAAACUUCUGUCCUUGGGGAAGAAAAAAAUGACGGUACCCCUGGAGGAAGUCCCGGCUAACUACGUGCCAGCAGCCGCGGUAAUACGUAGGGGGCGAGCGUUAUCCGGAAUUAUUGGGCGUAAAGAGUACGUAGGUGGUUUUUUAAGCGCAGGGUUUAAGGCGAUGGCUCAACUGUCGUUCGCCCUGUGAACUGGAAGACUUGAGUACAGGAGAGGAAAGCGGAAUUCCUAGUGUAGCGGUGAAAUGCAUAGAUAUUAGGAGGAACACCAGUGGCGAAGGCGGCUUUCUGGACUGUAACUGACACUGAGGUACGAAAGCGUGGGGAGCAAACAGGAUUAGAUACCCCAGUAGUCC
RNAcentral lists this ribosomal RNA (427 nucleotides) under uncultured bacterium. RNAcentral describes it as "partial 16S ribosomal RNA". It matches the Rfam family "Bacterial small subunit ribosomal RNA", at positions 354 to 796 of the family's 1533-position model. The record is from RNAcentral.